Molecule: ribosomal RNA, 357 nt
Filed under: Monocentrota lundstromi
Lineage: Eukaryota; Metazoa; Arthropoda; Insecta; Diptera; Keroplatidae
Description: Monocentrota lundstroemi partial 12S ribosomal RNA
Source: RNAcentral
UUAAAAUGUAAAUAUAAAAAUUAGAGUAGUAUUAGAUAUAUUCUUAAAACUUAAAAAAUUUGGCGGUAUUUUAAUCUAUUCAGAGGAACUUGUUUUAUAAUUGAUAAUCCUCAUUGAAUCUUACUUAAUUUUGUAUAGUUUGUAUAUCGUUGUCAUAAGAAUAUCUUAAAAAAGUUAAAAAUUUUCUAAUAUAAAAAUUAUUUUAUAUGUCAGAUCAAGGUGCAGCUUAUGAUUAAGAAAAAAUGAGUUACAAUUAAUUAUAUUAAUUACGGAUUAUAAAAUUAAAAUUUUAUAUAAAGGUGGAUUUGAUUGUAAAUUUUUAGAGAUAGUAAAAUUGAUUAUAGUUCUAAAAUGUGC